RNAcentral lists this ribosomal RNA (497 nucleotides) under uncultured bacterium. RNAcentral describes it as "partial 16S ribosomal RNA". It matches the Rfam family "Bacterial small subunit ribosomal RNA", at positions 28 to 507 of the family's 1533-position model. The record is from RNAcentral.
GAUGAACGCUGGCGGCGUGCCUAAUACAUGCAAGUCGAGCGAACGGACGAGAAGCUUGCUUCUCUGAUGUUAGCGGCGGACGGGUGAGUAACACGUGGAUAACCUACCUAUAAGACUGGGAUAACUUCGGGAAACCGGAGCUAAUACCGGAUAAUAUUUUGAACCGCAUGGUUCAAAAGUGAAAGACGGUCUUGCUGUCACUUAUAGAUGGAUCCGCGCUGCAUUAGCUAGUUGGUAAGGUAACGGCUUACCAAGGCAACGAUGCAUAGCCGACCUGAGAGGGUGAUCGGCCACACGGGAACUGAGCCACGGUCCAGGCUCCUACGGGAGGCCGCAGUAGGGAAUCUUCCGCAAUGGGCGAAAGCCUGACGGAGCAACGCCGCGUGAGUGAUGAAGGUCUUCGGAUCGUAAAACUCUGUUAUUAGUGAAGAACAUAUGUGUAAGUAACUGUGCACAUCUUGACGGUACCUAAUCAGAAAGCCACGGCUAACUACGUG